Molecule: long non-coding RNA, 1609 nt
Organism: Polypterus senegalus (gray bichir)
Lineage: Eukaryota; Metazoa; Chordata; Cladistia; Polypteriformes; Polypteridae
Exons: 3
Source: RefSeq, a predicted model, not a curated record
CAGAUAAAUACAAUGUGGCAUCGAUGAUAAAGAUGGAUGGCCUAACCAGUAGAGGGGGUUCGGGGGCUCUUUAAGUGGUGAGCCGGGUGCCGGCCGGCAGGGAGUGAAAUCUGUGCCUUAAAUGUUCGCUUUUAUGUGCUAGAUUUGUGUCACUUUGAAGGGACUCUUAAGUAUUUCUGUGUGUACUGAGAGUGUUUUUAGAUCCAAUGAGUGACGUCAUGGCGCGAGCGUGCCUCAUGAGCACGUGACCGGAGUGUUCGCAGCAAGCCUCAAAGCGGCGCUUCCAGCUGUUGAAAGCCUUCUCGGCGUGUAGUCACCACGCUUGGCGAGCUCGACGUGUCAGGAGUGCGCAGCCCAUCGCUUACUUUCAGCUCGGCGGGACUGCGAGAAUAAAUACGGUGUCCAAGAGCGGAUAGCUGUGAGCCGCUUCCGUCAUCAGGCAGAAAUCGUGCGAAACGGCAGCUGUUUGAAUUACUGGACUGUGGCUUGGUGAAGUGUGCUCGGCGUAAUCACAGGACAGUAAGGACACCUCGGGAUGGCAGCGUGGCAUCUUCGGAUAGACGCCAGUCAGGAUGACAGGUGUUGGGGCAGACGCCGGGGACCAGCUGGCCUGUCUGUGAAAGACGAGCGUGGCGGUCAAGGCUGGAAACGUGAACCAUGAAGACACCAAGGUCCUGCAGAUCCUAUGGGUGUCUGGUGGAGCCCAUUGAUGGAUCAACAUCCAGUCUAAAAUGCGGUGAAUGGCACAGGCUCUGGUGAGGCAGCAGGAUACAGCAGGUAGAUUGUGUAUAAUAAUAAUAAUAAAAAUGGUGUAAUUGUAAGAAUGAAAUGUUUAUUAAGAAGUGAAGCACAUUUUAAAAUGUUGAAGUGCAUGAUUCUCAUUGCAUUAACAGUACAUGUAAUAACUCUGUGAUGCAGCAAAGCCAUUUCACGCAGUAUAAUGAGACAUUAAAAUGGCCAGUCUCCAAGAACUACUGAGUGACACUGAGCUGUAACUAAACGCACACGUCUGUGCCAGGAAUUAGGGAGCGGACGGUUUUUGAGGGAUGCAUUUCUGGUCACUUCUAUGUGCUUUAUGGGUAAAGGGUCCUCUUUGAAAGAAGUCAACAUUUCAUUAUUUUUAUAUUUGUUUCUAGUUUUCUUAUUUUCACCACAUACCUCCAGUAUUAGGUGGCCAGAGGCAAAUGCCAGAAGUAAAAUAAGAGUUUUUACAAUAAAAUCCAAACUCUGACAGUCGAGGAAGCCAAAGGUGGUGAGAAGAUGGAUGGAUGCCCUCCAUUGUAUACAUACCCUUGAUACCAGUACUUGAGAGGAUCUAUCGGUGCCAUGGUGCCCUCGCCCAGGUUGCCCAGGGCAGUUGUAAAAUGUCAUCGACAGAUGAAGACGCACUUAAAUGAUCUGGAGAAUCUUUUAACCUCUUAUACCCUGGGGGUAUUUUUCAGCAGUCGCCCCCUAAAGGGGAGUACCCCAAAAUAAAACCUUAAUAUUCAAAAAAAUAAAGGCAGGCCAUUCCAUGUUCUUCACUAAAACCUGCCAGAUGACUUCUCAAAGGUGAUGGUGUCUGUGUCUGUGUCCAACUGAAACGUUCCUUUAAACGGUCAUAUUUUCA